RNAcentral lists this ribosomal RNA (373 nucleotides) under uncultured bacterium. RNAcentral's name for it is "bacterial SSU rRNA". It matches the Rfam family "Bacterial small subunit ribosomal RNA", at positions 527 to 898 of the family's 1533-position model. The record is from RNAcentral.
GGAGGAUGCAAGCGUUAUCCGGAAUGAUUGGGCGUAAAGCGUCUGCAGGUGGCAGUUCAAGUCUGCUGUCAAAGACCGGGGCUUAACUUCGGAAAGGCAGUGGAAACUGAACAGCUAGAGUAUGGUAGGGGCAGAGGGAAUUCCUGGUGUAGCGGUGAAAUGCGUAGAGAUCAGGAAGAACAUCGGUGGCGAAGGCGCUCUGCUGGACCAUAACUGACACUCAGGGACGAAAGCUAGGGGAGCGAAUGGGAUUAGAUACCCCAGUAGUCCUAGCCGUAAACGAUGGAUACUAGGUGUUGUCUGUAUCGACCCGGACAGUGCCGUAGCUAACGCGUUAAGUAUCCCGCCUGGGGAGUACGCACGCAAGUGUGAA